Molecule: long non-coding RNA, 1036 nt
Filed under: Terrapene triunguis (Three-toed box turtle)
Lineage: Eukaryota; Metazoa; Chordata; Testudines; Emydidae
Description: Terrapene carolina triunguis (Three-toed box turtle) lncRNA (ENSTMTG00000018825.1)
Source: RNAcentral
CCUCCCUAGUUCACAGCAUUAAAUCCACAGGCCUGUGCGGGGCGGGGGGGGGAGGGGGAAUUUCUGCCCUCUUAAAUAAAUUGAAUAUUUAUGGACCAUUUUCCUGCCUGGGAAGAAUGCAAGACUGACAGGGAAUCCAGUGUCUGGACAGUAAAGCACAAGAGGGAGGGAGCUCACGGCCUGCCAAGCACAGCUUCGCCUGCAGAGACUUUGGGGCACUCCUUCCCGGGGGGAGGGGAGCCUUCACCAUACCUGCCUCGGACCUCGUGAGCCCUGACUCCCGUGGGCAGUCCCCACUGCCAGAGUUUAUAGACCAGCACCAAAGAGGCACAGGGCCUGGCCGAGCCCAGCUCGGAGCAGGCCCUGGCUCUGGCUAAGCAGUGCCCCUCUCAGCCUCUUUCGCGGGCCCCAGGUAGGAAUCAAGUCCCCAGGCUCCAGGGGCACGCAUUGCAGCCAACUUACUGUGUCACCUACCAUGCUGCCAGUGCAGCCAGAGCUCCUGCUCUACAGGGCAGGACAAAGCGUUCGCAAACUUGGAUUCUUUUGAAGUAUGAAUUCAUUUCAGUGAGCACUCCCGUCCCUACUGGUGGGCAGGGGGUGCACAGAGCACUCUCACUGGCUCCCGGGGAGCAGGCCUCCGCUGGAGCCUUAGUGCUCAGGUUGGAGACUGCAGGCAAUGCCUCCUGUCCCACCUCCGGCCCAGGGCCUCUCCCACACCAGUGGAGCUCAGUGCCGCUCCCACACAGGAUUUUGUGCCCUGGCAGGUGGCAGACAGGAAUCUCCACAGGAGCCAUUGCAAGUGUUGGAAAGGCUGGAAGCUGCCUCGGGGGAUUUCCCACUCCUCCAGCAGUAGGAUGGGCCUCAAACGCAGGAGUCACCGCACCUGCGGGCAGGCGUGCAUGGCCCAGGCUACCUGAAGUGUGCUCUGCUGGGCAACAAGCAGCCUCUCCUCGGGUGGCGUUCAGACUCACUAGCCUAGGAACUCGCUCCUUGGACAGCAAUUAAAAACCCACAAAUAAAAUCCCGUCUCCUCCCC